This 1121-nucleotide long non-coding RNA is filed under the name Mytilus galloprovincialis (Mediterranean mussel). Lineage: Eukaryota; Metazoa; Mollusca; Bivalvia; Mytilida; Mytilidae. The record is from RNAcentral.
CCCUUUUUUAACUUAAUUUGGGAAAAAAUUAUUGACCAAUACGAAUAUAUAUAAAAUCGAUGUCAAUUAAACACAAUUUGCAGUAAUUUUGACCCCAUCCCAAACUAAUUAAAUAAAGUUUUUUACCCUUCUUUGAUUUUUUGAUGUCGUCCCUAACAAAAUCUAUAAGCAUUGAUUUUUGACAUAUUUCAGUAUUUUGGACUUUUUUUCUAUCUCAAAGUAUUUCCUUUGUUCUGAAGGAAAGACGCAAUCAGUUGUAGUUUCAUUUUUUUUAAAGUAUUUCAAAAGUUCCUUUUUUUCUUUCUUUCUGACGGAGAUGAUGAUUUUUAACGGACUCGGACAUUUUCCAACCAUAAUGAAAUAAGUUAUGAUGUUAUUACAUGUGUAUGUGCGACAAGGACGUGAACUUUGACAUGUUUUCGAAAAUUGUGGCGUUGGAUCUAAACCUAUUAUAUUACUUUUAUUUAUAGUUAACUUUUCACCGUUAAAAAUCAAUGAUUGCUUCCUUUUGUCAAAGUUUAAUAGAUUGUGUCCAUACCUGCCACUACUGUCACUAUUUGUUGGGGAUUUCCCCCAUGCAGGCUCCAAAAUGGAAAUUUUGAAAGAGCAAAUUUGUCCACAAUUUCAAACAAAACAAUUAAUUUGACAAUGGCUAUAGGCUUGUAUAAGUAUUAAGAAGCCAAAAAACAACAUCAACAUGUAUUUGAAUGUCCCCUUGAAGGUUUUGUGGAACUAUGGGAACCAUUUUGCACGUAAAACCCCCAUGGGUAUUUGGAAAACUUGGCAGGUAUGUAUCUCUUGGGAAGCAGGACAAAUCGCCCCACUGGCAAAUCGCCCCACACCUAAUCGCCCCACUUUUUCACCAACUCGCCCCGCUUUAAAAAAAAAAAAAACGCCCCAAACUGAUUUACCAAUUUGCCCCACUUUUUAAAAAAUCGCCCCACAUGUGAAAUGGUUUAAAUCAUGUUUAAUAUUACUCCUGCCAACUCGCCCCACUUAAUGGUAAACGGUAAUAUCUAGAUUAAUAUAUAAUUUUCAUGUCUGCCAACUCGCCCCACUUUAAUGAAAACUAAUCUACACAAAAUACAGACAAACCGAAAAUUUAUUUAAUUACUAUUAUU